This 1338-nucleotide long non-coding RNA is filed under the name Homo sapiens (human). RNAcentral describes it as "HSALNT0232166". Lineage: Eukaryota; Metazoa; Chordata; Mammalia; Primates; Hominidae. The record is from RNAcentral.
CUUAAGGCAGAGCAAGUGUUUGGUUUGCUCUCUCUGCCUAGAACAUUAACCAAGGUCAGAGAGUGCUUAGAAUCAAGUUUGUGUAACUCUUUCAUAUGCAUUCUUAAAAGUAUCAUAUCAUUAUUACUCAUGUCCUGCAAAGAUCAGGUGAUAGCCUGAACCAUAUUAAUGCUAGAUUUAAGUACAUCAAAUUCAUAAACACUUUGUGCUGUACUUUAUAAAAAUAACACCUUAAUUUAUAUAAUCCAUUAGAAUUUCAUAACAUUUUCAUUAUUAUCUCAUUCAGUAUCUCAAGAAUCCUUGGAGUAUGAACCUUUAAUCCAAUGAUUCUCCACUGUGGGCAAUUUUGCUCCCCACCCAGCAGACAUCUGACAGUGCCUGGAGACAUUUUUGGUUGUCACAUCUCACAAUGACCAGGACAGGCCCCACCCCAAUUACAGUGAAUUAUCUGGCCCCAAAUUUGAAUAUCGUCAAUGUUUGUAAACACUUUAACCCAUCUUUAAAGAAAUCCUGCUUUAAUCCCUCUUUAAAGAUGACUAAAACAGGUACCUGAGAACCUAAAUUGCCUGAGGUCACAUAGCUGGUCAUGUAUUCUCUUUCCCAGUCUUAGGACUAGAAGCCAAAUAUCACCACUUAUUCAUAUGUUACCUCCAUAGUCAUUGUGACUGCAUUCUAUAUGAGUGUUUCAGUGCUCAGUCAUGUUAUAAAAAUGUCAGAUUAAAGGAAAAUCUCUCCUUUUGAUUUGCAAAGUCAAGGAGAAGACAUGCAGGACUUGCAGGGGCAGGGUUGGGGCAGUACUCUGACAGGAUCUCAGCAUGGGUUGCCUUUGGUUCCUGGAGCUGUCCCAGGACUAAGGGACAGGGGGUGCCAGAUGAGAAGGAACGCAGGUGAAAAAAGUCUCAUUAUCAAAUUAAAACUUAGACGAGGGAAAAAAGGGAGAAUAAGGGGAUUUGUCCAGGGAGGAAGGAGAGAUGAUUCAUGAGGAUAUUCGUGUGGAUGAAGAAAGAACUGCCUGGAGCAAUUCUUCGAUUCCAGUUCAAGUGCCCAGUGGGUUUUAAGUGAUGCCUGCAGGUGAUGUUUUGGGUGUGCUAAGAGCACUUUCAAUGAUUCUAAAUUGAGAUGAGCUUCAGACACACAAGACAAGCUAGUUUAAAAGCAGGAAAUUCUGACCCAUCAUCAGAAAUUCUGAUUCAUUAGCUAUGGGUUGGGGCCUGGCAAACUGUACUGUAGCACACUCCCCUUAUUGAUUCUGAUGGUGAGGGUCAGAAUAAGUCAAAUGCUGGAGGUAGCCAGACCUGAAACACAGAGCGAGUACACCUGGAUCCUCCUCUCUCUCCU